CCCUAGUAAUGGCGAAUGAACAGGGAAAAGCCCAAUUUUAAAAUCACCUAACCGUGAAUUGUAGUUUAUAAGAGUGUAGAACUGUGCUGCCUUGCCUUAAGUCUCUUGAAAAAGAGCUACAGAGAGGGUGAAAUUCCCGUUUUGGUGCAAGUAGUAGUAUGGAACUUAUCUCUAAAGAGUCAUGUUGCUUGAGAAUGCAGCAUAAAAUGGGUGGUAAAUUCCAUCUAAGGCUAAAUACUGGUAAGAGUCCGAUAGUAAACAAGUACCUUAAGGGAAAGAUGAAAGAGAACCUUGAAAAGGGUCUCAAAAGAAAGUGAAAUUGUUAUAAGGAAACCGCUUAAAACUUCUGGAAUCUGUGCACCAGUUAAUGGGGGAGCAAUCCCUUUGCUAUUGGUGUAUGGGUGGCUAUUGCUCGGGUUUGAGCUUAUGAGGAUUAGAAGGGAAGGUAAGUUGAAUUUCGGUUUAACUUCUUAAAGCCCUUUUAGUCUGAUAAAGUUUGGGCCAGUGUAGAAAGUCAUACGGUGGCUAGCUCUUGAAUUAAACACUAUAAUAGACUUGUGCUAGAGUGGUUUUUAAUUUAAGGCCUAGUACUGCCACAUGCUUUAAUAGUUAAGAAGACUUAAGCGACCCGUCUUGAAACACGGACCAAGGAGUCUAACAUAUAUGCAAGUAUUAUGGCUUAAAACCAGACUGCGCAAUGAAAGUAAUUUCAAGGUAGGAUCCCGCAAGGGUGCACUAUCGACCGAGCUAUAGGG
Molecule: ribosomal RNA, 755 nt
Filed under: Zoophthora radicans
Lineage: Eukaryota; Fungi; Entomophthoromycota; Entomophthoromycetes; Entomophthorales; Entomophthoraceae
Description: LSU rRNA
Rfam family: Eukaryotic large subunit ribosomal RNA
Source: RNAcentral